AGCGAACGCUGGCGGCAGGCCUAACACAUGCAAGUCGAACGAACUCUUCGGAGUUAGUGGCGGACGGGUGAGUAACACGUGGGAACGUGCCUUUAGGUUCGGAAUAACUCAGGGAAACUUGUGCUAAUACCGAAUGUGCCCUUCGGGGGAAAGAUUUAUCGCCUUUAGAGCGGCCCGCGUCUGAUUAACUAGUUGGUGAGGUAAAGGCUCACCAAGGCGACGAUCAGUAGCUGGUCUGAGAGGAUGAUCAGCCACAUUGGGACUGAGACACGGCCCAAACUCCUACGGGAGGCAGCAGUGGGGAAUCUUGCGCAAUGGGCGAAAGCCUGACGCAGCCAUGCCGCGUGAAUGAUGAAGGUCUUAGGAUUGUAAAAUUCUUUCACCGGGGACGAUAAUGACGGUACCCGGAGAAGAAGCCCCGGCUAACUUCGUG
RNAcentral lists this ribosomal RNA (433 nucleotides) under uncultured bacterium. RNAcentral describes it as "partial 16S ribosomal RNA". It matches the Rfam family "Bacterial small subunit ribosomal RNA", at positions 29 to 507 of the family's 1533-position model. The record is from RNAcentral.